UAGGCAAGAUUACCCGCUGAAUUUAAGCAUAUUAUUAAGCGGAGGAAAAGAAACUAACAAGGAUUCCCUCAGUAAGGGCGACUGAAGCGGGAAAAGCUCAGACUGAAAAUCUUCGGAAUUGUAGUCUGGAGAGGUGUGACCAGUUGCGAAUGUGGACUAAGUCUCCUGGAACGGAGCGCCAGAGAGGGUGACAGCCCCGUUCAUGUCUAUGUUCAAAGCGUACGGUCUGCCUUCUACGAGUCGAGUUGUUUGGGAUUGCAGCUCUAAGUGGGUGGUAAAUUCCAUCUAAAGCUAAAUAUUGGUGGGAGACCGAUAGCGAACAAGUACCGUGAGGGAAAGAUGAAAAGAAUUUUGAAAAGAAGGUUAAAGAGUACCUGAAAUUGCUGAAAAGGAACCGAUGGGAGGUAGUGUUAGUUCAUUUCCGUUUACGGGUUUGGACAAGUUAGGCUUCCUUCUUUAUGUGAGAAAAGCUUCGUUAGCCAUCUGGCGCGGAUUUGCUGUCAUGUGAAGGAGGGACUCUAACGAAAUGCCUCUUAUCAUCCCGUCUUGUAACACGGACCAAGGAGUCUAACAUGUGUGCGAGUGCUCGGGGUUCAUCCCCCAGCGCGGAAUUAAUGUGAAGGCGGACCUAGUCCGCUGAGGUAGGAUGCUUCGGCUGCACUAUCGACCGACCAUGAUCCCUCGGGAGAAAGGUUUGAGUGUGAGCAUAGAUGUUGGGACCCGAAAGAUGGUGAACUAUGCCUGAGUAGGGCGAAGCCAGGGGAAACUCUGGUGGAGGUCCGUAGCGAUUGUGACGUGCAAAUCCAUCGUCAAAUUUGGGUAUAGGGGCGAAAGACUA
RNAcentral lists this ribosomal RNA (838 nucleotides) under Schmidingerella taraikaensis. RNAcentral describes it as "partial Eukaryotic large subunit ribosomal RNA". It matches the Rfam family "Eukaryotic large subunit ribosomal RNA", at positions 12 to 933 of the family's 3401-position model. Lineage: Eukaryota; Ciliophora; Spirotrichea; Tintinnida; Rhabdonellidae. The record is from RNAcentral.